GCGAGCCCUGGACGGGAGCGGCCGAGGCGGUUGGGCGGAGGCGGAGCAGGCGCCAUGUCAGCCCGGGAAGUGGCCGUGCUGCUGUUGUGGCUGAGCUGCUGUGGGUCGGCCGUUUGGAGGUAUUCCACUAACAGCCCAAACUAUCGCAUUUUUAGUACCAGAAGUACUAUUAAGUUAGAGUAUGAAGGAACAUUAUUUACUGAGUGGAGUGUGCCAGAAACUUGUUUUGUGCUAAAUAAAAGCUCACCCACGACAGUAUUGCGUUGUUCCUCACCUGGUGUUCAUGCUAUAAAACCAAUUGUUACCGGCCCAGAUGAAGAAGAACGCUAUUUAUUUGUGGAAAGUUCUCAUACUUGCUUUCUGUGGUACUAUAGAGUUAGGACCUGGCGUAUUGUAGUACCAAUGACAAAAGAUGAUGCACUAAAGGAGAUUAGAGGAAACCAAGUUACUUUUCAAGAUUGCUUUAUUGCAGAUUUUCUUAUUCUGUUGACUUUUCCUUUGUCGACCAUACCUGAAAUUCCUGGUUAUUUACCAAUCUCCUCACCACGUGGUAGUCAAUUAAUGGCAUCCUGGGAUGCUUGUGUAUUUGCAUCUGUUGUUUUGGUAACUGAUAGGGAGACCUUUCAAACAACUGAUUCAUUCAAAUCCUGGACCAGAAUCCAAGUGCCUCCAGACAUUCUGAGUAAUGAUGAAAGACGGAGUGUGGCUGAUGUGAUCUUAUCGCG
RNAcentral lists this small RNA (725 nucleotides) under Pongo abelii (Sumatran orangutan). Its description in RNAcentral is "processed transcript". The record is from RNAcentral. Lineage: Eukaryota; Metazoa; Chordata; Mammalia; Primates; Hominidae.